This 447-nucleotide small RNA is filed under the name Pan troglodytes (chimpanzee). RNAcentral describes it as "retained intron". The record is from RNAcentral. Lineage: Eukaryota; Metazoa; Chordata; Mammalia; Primates; Hominidae.
UUUAGAGAGAAUCUAAAAUGCAUUAUGUGGUAUUUGAGAGAAUGUUAUUGAAUUUCUAUCUCUUUUGCAGUGGAAGAAGUUGUUCCAAAUGUAAUUGAACCUUCCUUCGGCCUGGGUAGGAUCAUGUAUACGGUAUUUGAACAUACAUUCCAUGUACGAGAAGGAGAUGAACAGAGAACAUUCUUCAGUUUCCCUGCUGUAGUCGCUCCAUUCAAAUGUUCCGUCCUCCCACUGAGCCAAAACCAGGAGUUCAUGCCAUUUGUCAAGGAAUUAUCGGAAGCCCUGACCAGGCAUGGAGUAUCUCACAAAGUAGACGAUUCCUCUGGGUCAAUCGGAAGGCGCUAUGCCAGGACUGAUGAGAUUGGCGUGGCUUUUGGUGUCACCAUUGACUUUGACACAGUGAACAAGACCCCCCACACUGCAACUCUGAGGGACCGUGACUCAAUG